UACGUAGGGUGCAAGCGUUGUCCGGAAUUAUUGGGCGUAAAGAGUUCGUAGGCGGUCUGUCGCGUCGGUCGUGAAAACCUGCAGCUUAACUGUGGGCGUGCGGUCGAUACGGGCAUGACUGGAGUUCGGCAGGGGAGACUGGAAUUCCUGGUGUAGCGGUGAAAUGCGCAGAUAUCAGGAGGAACACCGGUGGCGAAGGCGGGUCUCUGGGCCUGACCUGACGCUGAGGAGCGAAAGCGUGGGGAGCGAACAGG
This 254-nucleotide ribosomal RNA is filed under the name uncultured bacterium. RNAcentral's name for it is "partial 16S ribosomal RNA". It matches the Rfam family "Bacterial small subunit ribosomal RNA", at positions 524 to 776 of the family's 1533-position model. The record is from RNAcentral.